CAGUAGUCACGAGUUUGAUCCUGGCUCAGAACGAACGCUGGCGGCAUGCCUAACACAUGCAAGUCGAACGAGACCUUCGGGUCUAGUGGCGCACGGGUGCGUAACGCGUGGGAAUCUGCCCUUUGCUUCGGAAUAACAGUUAGAAAUGACUGCUAAUACCGGAUGAUGUCUUCGGACCAAAGAUUUAUCGGCAAAGGAUGAGCCCGCGUAGGAUUAGGUAGUUGGUGGGGUAAAGGCCUACCAAGCCGACGAUCCUUAGCUGGUCUGAGAGGAUGAUCAGCCACACUGGGACUGAGACACGGCCCAGACUCCUACGGGAGGCAGCAGUGGGGAAUAUUGGACAAUGGGCGAAAGCCUGAUCCAGCAAUGCCGCGUGAGUGAUGAAGGCCUUCGGGUCGUAAAGCUCUUUUACCAGGGAUGAUAAUGACAGUACCUGGAGAAUAAGCUCCGGCUAACUACGUG
This 462-nucleotide ribosomal RNA is filed under the name uncultured bacterium. RNAcentral's name for it is "bacterial SSU rRNA". It matches the Rfam family "Bacterial small subunit ribosomal RNA", at positions 1 to 507 of the family's 1533-position model. The record is from RNAcentral.